This 1558-nucleotide ribosomal RNA is filed under the name metagenome. Its description in RNAcentral is "bacterial LSU rRNA". It matches the Rfam family "Bacterial large subunit ribosomal RNA", at positions 1392 to 2925 of the family's 2925-position model. The record is from RNAcentral.
UAAGUCCAGGCCGAAAGGCGUAGGCGAUGGGAAACAGGUUCAAUAUUCCUGUACCACCUACUGUGAGUGAUGGAGUGACGCAGGAGGCUAGGUCAGCCAGCGAAUGGAAAUGCUGGUCGAAGGUCGUAGGGAGAUCCGCCAGGAAAAUCCGGUGGGUCAAUUCCGAAAACCGUAAGGACGCUUCGGUCGCAAGACCGGGCGGAUUGACUGACGCCACGCUGCCAGGAAAAGCUCCUAAACGUUGAUCAGUGGGUGACCGUAUCCCAAUCCGACACAGGUGGGAUGGUAGAAGAUACCAAGGCGCGCGAGAGAAACUUCGUCAAGGAACUCGGCAAUCUAGCCCCGUAACUUCGGAAGAAGGGGUCCUCCAAUGGGUCAUUAUUUCGGUAAGAGCCCGCUGGAGGCGCAGUGAAAGGGCCCAGGCGACUGUUUAACAAAAACACAGCACUCUGCCAACUCGCAAGAGGAUGUAUAGGGUGUGACACGUGACCAAUGCCGAAAGGUCAAGGCAAGAGGUUAGCCGCAAGGCGAAGCUUCGACCCAAAGCCCCGGUGAAUGUCGGCCGUAACUAUAACGGUCCUAAGGUAGCGAAAUUCCUUGUCGGGUAAGUUCCGACCUGCACGAAUCGUGUAACGAUCUGGGCGCUGUCUCGACGGAGAUCUCGGUGAAGUUGUAAUACCGGUGAAAAUGCCGGUUACCCGCAGCAGGACGGAAAGACCCUGUGAACCUUUACUGUACUCUGUUAUUGGCUUUUGACAAUUCAUGUGUAGCAUAGCUGGGAGCCAGCGAAGUUCCGACGCGAGUCGGGAUGGAGGCAUCAGUGAAAUACCAGUCUUGAGUUGUCGGAAUUCUAACCAUCAUCCGUGAAUCCGGGUAUGGGACAGUGACAGACGGUCAGUUUGACUGGGGCGGUUCCCUCCCAAAUUGUAACGGAGGGGCACGAAGGUUCUCUCAGCACGGUCAGCAAUCGUGCGUAGAGCGUAUAGGUACAAGAGAGCUUAACUGCGAGACCUACAAGUCGAGCAGGUGCGAAAGCAGGUCUAAGUGAUCCGGUGGUAGCUAGUGGUAGCGCCAUCGCUCAACGGAUAAAAGGUACUCUGGGGAUAACAGGCUGUUCGCCGCCAAGAGUCCACAUCGACGCGGCGGUUUGGCACCUCGAUGUCGGCUCAUCGCAUCCUGGGGCUGGAGAAGGUCCCAAGGGUUGGGCUGUUCGCCCAUUAAAGCGGUACGCGAGCUGGGUUCAGAACGUCGUGAGACAGUUUGGUCCUUAUCCGCUGUGGGCGCAGGAGAUUUGAGGAGGCCAUUCCUUAGUACGAGAGGACCGGGAAUGACGCACCACUGGUGUUCCAGUUGUUCCGCCAUGGAGCAGCGCUGGGUAGCUAUGUGCGGAUCGGAUAAGCGCUGAAAGCAUCUAAGCGCCAAGCCAUCUCCAAGAUAAGAUCUCCCCUACCCGCAAGGGUACUGAAGGCUGGUUGAAGUCUACAACCUCGAUAGGCUGGGUGUGUAAGCGGGGCGACCCGUUUAGCUAACCAGUACUAAUAAGCCGUGCGGCUUGAUC